RNAcentral lists this transfer RNA (85 nucleotides) under methanotrophic bacterial endosymbiont of Bathymodiolus sp. RNAcentral's name for it is "tRNA-Leu". It matches the Rfam family "tRNA". Rfam says of the family: Transfer RNA (tRNA) molecules are approximately 80 nucleotides in length. Their secondary structure includes four short double-helical elements and three loops (D, anti-codon, and T loops). Lineage: Bacteria; Pseudomonadati; Pseudomonadota; Gammaproteobacteria. The record is from RNAcentral.
CCGGGGUGGUGAAACUGGUAGACACGCCGGAUUCAAAAUCCGGUUUCUUCGGAAGUGCCGGUUCGAUUCCGGCCCUCGGUACCAC